RNAcentral lists this ribosomal RNA (729 nucleotides) under Tengioboletus subglutinosus. RNAcentral describes it as "partial large subunit ribosomal RNA". It matches the Rfam family "Eukaryotic large subunit ribosomal RNA", at positions 87 to 810 of the family's 3401-position model. The record is from RNAcentral. Lineage: Eukaryota; Fungi; Basidiomycota; Agaricomycetes; Boletales; Boletaceae.
CUGCGAGUGAAGCGGGAAAAGCUCAAAUUUUAAAUCUGGCGGUCUCCUCGGCCGUCCGAGUUGUAAUCUAGAGAAGCGUCUUCCGCGCUGGCCCGUGUACAAGUCUCCUGGAACGGAGCAUCAUGGAGGGUGAGAAUCCCGUCUUCGACACGGACCACCGGUGCUAUGUGAUGCGCUCUCGACGAGUCGAGUUGUUUGGGAAUGCAGCUCAAAACGGGUGGUAAAUUCCAUCUAAAGCUAAAUAUGGGCGAGAGACCGAUAGCGAACAAGUACCGUGAGGGAAAGAUGAAAAGAACUUUGGAAAGAGAGUUAAACAGUACGUGAAAUUGCUGAAAGGGAAACGCUUGAUGUCAGUCGCGUUCGCCAGGGAUCAGCCUCGCUUCUCGCCAGGCGUACUUCCUGGUCGAACGGGUCAGCAUCAGUUUCGGUCGCCAUACAAGGCCGGAGGGAACGUGACACUCUUCGGGGUGUGUUAUAGCCUUUCGUCGUAUGUGGCCUCCGGGACUGAGGAACUCGGCACCACCUCACCGUGUGUGCUUUAGGAUGCUGGCAUAAUGGCCUUAAGCGACCCGUCUUGAAACACGGACCAAGGAGUCUAACAUGCCUGCGAGUGUUUGGGCGCAAAACCCAAGCGCGCAAUGAAAGUGAAAGUCGAGACCUCCGUCGUGGAGGGCAUCGACGCCCGGACCUGAGUCUUCGACGACGGAUCUGCGGUACAGCAUGUAUGUU